AGUACAAGUGCAUAAUUCUCCACCAAAGAAUGAAAACAUUGCUAUAACAAAUCCAUCUGUCCUUUACUUUUAGACGAACAGAAGCUAUUAUCUGUGUGCAGGAUAGACAAGGAGAUACAAGGGGCACCUCCUCCUCUACAGCCCAGCUGAACCACUGCCAACACAAGCAGAAAGACAGAUCUCUUUUCAAUUCUCUGUGCUCCUAUGACUGAAUUUGAAAGCCUACCAUCUGCAUGUCCCUCUUAAGUCCUGGAUUUAUCACUCCGGGCACCUUCAUAUCCAAACAGGGCCUAUAUCCUCUGCAUGAAACAGGAAGCAAGCCAAAGGAAUAAGAAGAGAUGUAUGAAGAUAGAAGAGAAGAAGAGAGAUGAAGAAACUGACUUCAGAAAAGAUAAGUGAGUAGCCCACAAUCCCACUUAAAGGGGCAAAGUCGUUCCUGACUCCUAAUAGGUAAUUAUUUUUCUCCCACUAUGUUGCUCCGUUUUAGGCUACAUAUUGUAGGUUACAACCUUUCUUUUUCAAUUAGAUUUUUUUCCUGUCACUCUUAAAGCAUUGUACAUCUCUCUCAUCCUGAUUCUGUCUCUUCUGGGGGAAGUAGCUCAAAUAUCACCUCAUACCCUGUGCUGCACUAUGGCCAGGUUCUCACCUCUCUUUUGGUCCUUAUCACAUCGCUAAAGUGAUGUUUCCACAUCUGGUUCUGACAUAAUAUGAGUACC
RNAcentral lists this long non-coding RNA (716 nucleotides) under Callithrix jacchus (white-tufted-ear marmoset). RNAcentral's name for it is "lncRNA (ENSCJAG00000070361.1)". The record is from RNAcentral. Lineage: Eukaryota; Metazoa; Chordata; Mammalia; Primates; Cebidae.